Orbicella faveolata is the source of this 167-nucleotide long non-coding RNA. RefSeq lists it as uncharacterized. Lineage: Eukaryota; Metazoa; Cnidaria; Anthozoa; Scleractinia; Merulinidae. The record is from RefSeq and is a predicted model, not a curated record.
GUUGUGGGGAGCGCGAAGGUGUUUUGUGAGUCGGAGACACUGUGUCGCCAACGACAAUGGAGGUCUAGUGAUUGGGGGUCUUAAGAUAGAAUUCACGAAGGCAAAGUCUGUGGUGCAAUGCUGUAACGGAGGGUCCAUGAAUCGAAAUAAAUCUAUUCAUAUUGUAA